GCACAAGCGGUGGAUGAUGUGGUUAAUUCGAUGCAACGCGAAAACCUUACCCACCUUGACAUGUACGGAAUCCUUUAGAGAUAGAGGGGUGCUCGAAAGAGAGCCGUAACACAGGUGCUGCAUGGCUGUCGUCAGCUCGUGUCGUGAGAUGUUGGGUUAAGUCCCGCAACGAGCGCAACCCUUGUCAUUAGUUGCUACAUUUGGUUGGGCACUCUAAUGAGACUGCCGUGACAAGCCGGAGGAAGGUGGGGAUGACGUCAAGUCCUCAUGGCCCUUAUAGGUGGGGCUACACACGUCAUACAAUGGCUGGUACAAAGGGUUGCCGACCCGCGAGGGGGAGCUAAUCCCACAAAGCCAGUCGUAGUCCGGAUCGUAGUCUGCAACUCGACUACGUGAAGUCGGAAUCGCUAGUAAUCGUGGAUCAGAAUGUCACGGUGAAUACGUUCCCGGGUCUU
This 455-nucleotide ribosomal RNA is filed under the name uncultured Rhodoferax sp. RNAcentral's name for it is "bacterial SSU rRNA". It matches the Rfam family "Bacterial small subunit ribosomal RNA", at positions 923 to 1382 of the family's 1533-position model. The record is from RNAcentral. Lineage: Bacteria; Pseudomonadati; Pseudomonadota; Betaproteobacteria; Burkholderiales; Comamonadaceae.